Long non-coding RNA from Coturnix japonica (Japanese quail), 2022 nucleotides. NCBI's taxonomy places the organism in Eukaryota, Metazoa, Chordata, Aves, Galliformes, Phasianidae. The record is from Ensembl.
AUCCCCAUCAUACAACAUGCUGAGGUAUAUGAACAGAAUUUGUCAGGAGCUAAUAUGUUAGUUAGCUGUCACGGUUUGAACUAAAAAUCCACCUGCGUCCGUGACAGGGUGCCGUAGGCCCCGGAGGGGCCCUAGGCCGAAAGGAAAAAAAUUAAUUAGGAAAAGAAAACAGCGGCAACGAUCUAAGGAGGCACACUUAUUUACUAAAUACUAUAUCGAAAUACAGGGUAACACAAUAUAAUACAAUAUAAUUGAAAUUGAGCUAACGAAUCAAGCAAAAUAGGAGAGAGAAUGAGUCCCGUAACCGAGAGGCUACUGUGAAUCUAGGCGAACGGCUGAAGGCUCCCACACACUCCCCUGAACGCCAGAACUCGAAAGACGUCAGUCUGUUCUGCGACAGAGUUAAUAUAGAGUCCAGGUCCCGUGACCUAUCGUGUUGUUCUCCUGGGAGAUGUAGUCUUCUUCUGAUAAGUUGCAGAUUCAGUAAAAUUAUUCAUGCUUUAUAUGAUGUUAUGAUGUGGAAUACUGAUAGCAAAAUUACAAAUUAUUAAACCAUGACAUUCCACCCCUUAUUCUACAUCAUUACAUUAUAUUUAUACAUACAUACACACUCAUAUGUAUAAUUGUGAAUAAUCAGCAACCUUAUUUUUUCUCAACAAUCUAUAUUUAUUCCAUACAAAUCCUAAGUGAGAACAAAACUCUAUAACCUAAUUUACUAUUUAUUAAUUUUGAGAAAAUGGCAAAACUGCCAGAAAAAGGAAAACAUGUCAGCGGUAGAGGGGAAAGGCAGCGCUGGUAGGGCGUCCCCCACAUCAAGGUGCACUCAUCCUUUCCCAGCCACCACAGCAGAUUUUCCUUUUGAUUUAUACUUCUUUCCAUGUGUGCUCUACACAUGCAUGGCCAGUGCAGGAUAUAGAGUCCAGAUGGAAAACUUGCUUACAGAAUGCCUAAUUAAGGUAUAUAGAGAAAAAAGUGUUUCCUUAACAUUAAUCCACUCUAUCUUAAGUCCUAUACCUAAUUGAAACUAUUCUGUACCUAAUUGAAAUAUUUCCUGAGACUCUACCUAUAUAUUUACAGGAAAAUCAUUGGCUGCACUCCCCAAACAUCAAAUUCCUUGUGGUACACAUGAACAUUCCCAUUUUUGUCCAUCACCCCAUGUGCAGCCAGGUCCCGUGGGCAAAGACAGUACCCCGGAGAGGUUUGCCCUUUCCAGAUGCUGGAAGGACCCAAACCGUCUUUCCCAACACGCUCUUUAUGUGUACUACAGGAACCUUAUCUCCCUCCCACGGUACGUAGGGAGCUGGAUUGGUUAGGACCAUUGCGAUUACUAGAUCCCGAGUGUUGACCAACCAGGUGGCUUUCUGCUAAAUGGUUCUCCCAAUUUUUAUACGUUCCGCCACCCAUUGCUUUCAACAUAGUUUUCAACAACCCAUUGAAUCGUUCAAUCUUACCAGAAGCUGGUGCAUGAUAGGGAAUAUGGUAAAUCCACUCGAUGCAUGAUUUUUGGCCCAAGUGGUUACCAUGAGGGAAUUUUUAAAAUGGGUUCCCAUUAUCUGAUUCAAUUCUUUCUGGAGUGCCAUGCCGCCACAGGAUUUGCUUUUCCACCCUAAUAUGGGUGUGUUUCGGCGGUAGCAUGGGGUACUGCGUAUGUUUCGAGCCACCCAGUGGUUGCCUCCACCAUGGUGAGUACAUACCGCUUACCAUUGCGAGAUCGUGGCAAGGUGAUAUAAUCACCCCUGCCAUGCCUCUCCAUAUUUAUACUUUUGCCAUCGCCUUCCCCCAAAGAGGUUUCAUCCUCUUGGCUUGUUUAAUUAUGGCGCAUGUUUCACAAUCAUGAAUAACUUGAGCAAUAGCGUCCAUAGUUAAGUCCACCCCUCGGUCUCUGGCCCACUUAUAUGUUGCAUCCCUUCCUUGAUGACCUGAAGUCUCAUGGGCCCACCGAGCUAGGAAUAAUUCACCCUUGUUCUGCCAGUCCAAGUCUAUUUGAGCCACUCAAUUUUGGCAGCUCGAUCACCUGAUGGU